Molecule: ribosomal RNA, 499 nt
Filed under: uncultured Glomeromycotina
Lineage: Eukaryota; Fungi; Glomeromycota
Description: partial small subunit ribosomal RNA
Rfam family: Eukaryotic small subunit ribosomal RNA
Source: RNAcentral
CCAAUAGCGUAUAUUAAAGUUGUUGCAGUUAAAAAGCUCGUAGUUGAAUUUCGGGAUCAAAUUGUCGGUCGUGCCUCGGUACGCACUGGCGUUAUUGGUUCCUACCUUCUGAAGAACCACGAUGUCAUUAAUUUGGUGUCGCGGGGAAUCAGGACUGUUACUUUGAAAAAAUUAGAGUGUUUAAAGCAGGCUCGCGCUUGAAUACAUUAGCAUGGAAUAAUGAAAUAGGACGUUUGAUUCUAUUUUGUUGGUUUCUAGGAUCGACGUAAUGAUUAAUAGGGAUAGUUGGGGGCAUUAGUAUUCAAUUGUCAGAGGUGAAAUUCUUGGAUUUAUUGAAGACUAACUACUGCGAAAGCAUUUGCCAAGGAUGUUUUCAUUAAUCAAGAACGAAAGUUAGGGGAUCGAAGACGAUCAGAUACCGUCGUAGUCUUAACCAUAAACUAUGCCGACUAGGGAUCGGAUGAUGUUAAUUUUUUAAUGACUCAUUCGGCGCCCUACG